Molecule: long non-coding RNA, 532 nt
Filed under: Panax ginseng (ginseng)
Lineage: Eukaryota; Viridiplantae; Streptophyta; Magnoliopsida; Apiales; Araliaceae
Description: long non-coding RNA (PGIN_LNC000127)
Source: RNAcentral
CACAACAACACACCACCGUCCUGCGUCAGAUUGCUUCUUUAUUUGGCGCCGCCGAUACCUCCGUCUCGGGCUGGUCCUUGAUAAUCUUCUCAGCCUUGCCGUUACCUGAACUUUCUCUCUCCUCUUUCGCUCUUAAGUCUGCAUCUUCUCUUUGAUCACACAAACCAACGAAUUCACAUAAUAAUAUACAUAGAGAGGGAAUUGAACAGAGACUUAUAGAGGGUGGGAAUGAAAGGAGAAGACCGGUAAACAUGAAGGAUGCAUAUUUCACGAUUUCCAAACCUUUCGAAAGCUCAAUUGAGCAAAGAAGAAGCUUUAUCCACCGACUUUCCGACGGCCACGUAUACCCUAUCACCCACUUAUUUGGAAAUUUCCGGCGAGGAGGAAAUCACUAGUGAUAUCAUCAUCCUUUGAUAAUUAUGUGGGAAAUUGGCCGGAGAAGAAAACCCAAAAAAGCAGUCUCCGAGAACAAAGAGUGAUCGAAUGAAUCUUCUAUAACUAGGGAUACAAGAUAGAUUUUGUAAUAUUGAUG